ACAGCAGCCGCCGCGGGAAUACGGAGGGUGCAAGCGUUAAUCGGAAUUACUGGGCGUAAAGCGCACGCAGGCGGUUUGUUAAGUCAGAUGUGAAAUCCCCGAGCUUAACUUGGGAACUGCAUUCGAAACUGGCAAGCUAGAGUCUUGUAGAGGGGGGUAGAAUUCCAGGUGUAGCGGUGAAAUGCGUAGAGAUCUGGAGGAAUACCGGUGGCGAAGGCGGCCCCCUGGACAAAGACUGACGCUCAGGUGCGAAAGCGUGGGGAGCAAACAGGAUUAGAUACCCGCGUAGUCCCUGUCUCUUAUAC
Molecule: ribosomal RNA, 305 nt
Filed under: uncultured bacterium
Lineage: Bacteria
Description: partial 16S ribosomal RNA
Rfam family: Bacterial small subunit ribosomal RNA
Source: RNAcentral